CAAUGAGCAAAGCUGUAAGACAAUAACAGCAGGUUAGCUAUCAACACAUGUGUGUGUUAGCGCAAGCGAAAUUAUUAUCACCUCCGAGUGGUGGAGACGAAAUCAGUAAAUGACGGUGCUUUGACCAUUAAAAACGGAAAAGAAUGCUUAGGGAUAACAGAUAAAGCAGAAUAAUCAAGAACAUGAUUAACAGCAGAAGCAAGGGUACACAUAGUUGGGGUCCAGUUAUACGUGCAGUGCAAGGAGCACCACCAGCUGGGGCAGUUGAUGCUCGAUGCAAAGAAGUAGCGGAUUGUGAAGGUG
Microplitis demolitor is the source of this 303-nucleotide long non-coding RNA. RefSeq lists it as uncharacterized. The record is from RefSeq and is a predicted model, not a curated record. NCBI's taxonomy places the organism in Eukaryota, Metazoa, Arthropoda, Insecta, Hymenoptera, Braconidae. The transcript has 3 exons.